GGAUGAGCCCGCGGCCUAUCAGCUUGUUGGUGGGGUAAUGGCCUACCAAGGCGACGACGGGUAGCCGACCUGAGAGGGUGAUCGGCCACACUGGGACUGAGACACGGCCCAGACUCCUACGGGAGGCAGCAGUGGGGAAUAUUGCACAAUGGGCGCAAGCCUGAUGCAGCGACGCCGCGUGAGGGAUGACGGCCUUCGGGUUGUAAACCUCUUUCACCAGGGACGAAGCGCAAGUGACGGUACCUGGAGAAGAAGCACCGGCCAACUACGUGCCAGCAGCCGCGGUAAUA
Molecule: ribosomal RNA, 290 nt
Filed under: uncultured bacterium
Lineage: Bacteria
Description: partial 16S ribosomal RNA
Rfam family: Bacterial small subunit ribosomal RNA
Source: RNAcentral